AUGGCACGCAAGCUCAUGUACCCACGGAUCCUCGCCGUGCUCGCACUCGUCAUGGCGGCGGCGUGGACGCCGUGCUCCGCCGACCCGACAGUGUCUACCAAAGCCACAGCAGCGGCAAGCGGAGAAAGCGUACCCGUCCGAGCUGCGGCAGUUGCGCCGGUAAGUUCGACAGUCGCCGUACCCGCAGCCGGUGCAGCGACGACGCAAGCCACGGCCACGACGUCCAAGAAGAUCCCGCUGGCGCCUCCGGACGUGGUCGAGCCGGCGGCGGAGGUGGUGUCCGCCCUGCCGGUGCCGGUGCCCGAGACUCUUCCCAGCGCAGAAGGCCUUGGCUUCGGCAGCAACGGGUUCAACGGUGGCCAGGGCGGCUUCGGAUGCUGCGGAGGGUUCGGGUACAACGGUGGGCUGGGCUACAAUAACGGGCCGUUGUUCUUCAACUCGGCGCCGGCGAGAAGAUUGAGUCUGAGGAGCAUGGCGACCGGAAAUGGCCUCGCUGUUCUUCUGGUUGCUGGUGCUGCAGCCAUGUUUUAUGUGUGA
Molecule: ribosomal RNA, 537 nt
Filed under: Triticum aestivum (bread wheat)
Lineage: Eukaryota; Viridiplantae; Streptophyta; Magnoliopsida; Poales; Poaceae
Description: partial small subunit ribosomal RNA
Source: RNAcentral